UACGUAGGUGGCAAGCGUUGUCCGGAUUUACUGGGCGUAAAGAGCGCGCAGGCGGUCGUUCAAGUCGCGUGUGAAAGCCCCCGGCUCAACUGGGGAGGGUCACGCGAUACUGAUCGACUCGAAGGCAGGAGAGGGAAGCAGAAUUCCCGGUGUAGUGGUGAAAUGCGUAGAUAUCGGGAGGAAUACCAGUGGCGAAGGCGGCUUCCUGGCCUGUUCUUGACGCUGAGGCGCGAAAGCUAGGGGAGCAAACGGG
RNAcentral lists this ribosomal RNA (253 nucleotides) under uncultured bacterium. RNAcentral describes it as "partial 16S ribosomal RNA". It matches the Rfam family "Bacterial small subunit ribosomal RNA", at positions 524 to 776 of the family's 1533-position model. The record is from RNAcentral.